GUCCUGCUUCCAAACUGUCCCCGUAUGGAGUGCGUGCCUGUAGCGGGCUAGGAAGUAGAGCCGCU
This 65-nucleotide non-coding RNA is filed under the name unclassified sequences. Its description in RNAcentral is "DUF3800-IX RNA". It matches the Rfam family "DUF3800-IX RNA". Rfam says of the family: Actinobacteria, Firmicutes (1 example), Nitrospirae, Proteobacteria, Verrucomicrobia (1 example). The record is from Rfam by way of RNAcentral.